RNAcentral lists this transfer RNA (76 nucleotides) under Litoreibacter albidus. RNAcentral describes it as "tRNA_Thr_CGT". It matches the Rfam family "tRNA". Rfam says of the family: Transfer RNA (tRNA) molecules are approximately 80 nucleotides in length. RNAcentral also lists the same sequence under 3 other names. Lineage: Bacteria; Pseudomonadati; Pseudomonadota; Alphaproteobacteria; Rhodobacterales; Roseobacteraceae. The record is from RNAcentral.
GCCCCAUUAGCUCAGCUGGUAGAGCAGGUCCUUCGUAAGGACAAGGUCGGCGGUUCAAGUCCGUCAUGGGGCACCA